Molecule: ribosomal RNA, 163 nt
Filed under: uncultured bacterium
Lineage: Bacteria
Description: partial 16S rRNA
Rfam family: Bacterial small subunit ribosomal RNA
Source: RNAcentral
UAGGGAAUCUUCCACAAUGGGCGAAAGCCUGAUGGAGCAACGCCCGUGUGUGAUGAAGGGUUUCGGCUCGUAAAACACUGUUGUAAGAGAAGAAUGACAUUGAGAGUAACUGUUCAAUGUGUGACGGUAUCUUACCAGAAAGGAACGGCUAAAUACGUGCCAG